This is a long non-coding RNA of Rattus norvegicus (Norway rat), 509 nucleotides long. RefSeq lists it as uncharacterized. Lineage: Eukaryota; Metazoa; Chordata; Mammalia; Rodentia; Muridae. The record is from RefSeq and is a predicted model, not a curated record.
GUUUGUCUCAGGUGUUACGACCUGGCCAUUAGCAGAGUCAGGAGUGAGUGGAGUGAAUGCACUACCAAUCCCGCCUGAGCUCUCCUCUCCCGAACCUAAGUCGGAGGCAGGUUCUGAGCGGGAUAGGUGCCUGGUACUAGAUAUAUGUUACCAGUGUGUAUCACAUGGUUUCUCAGAUGGAGCCCAGAGUGAGUGAGACAAAGAAGAAAAGUUAACACAGAAAAGCUUUGGAAUUCCUCUGAGAUCUGGAGCUGGAGAGAUGGCACAGUCUUGCUGUUCUUUCCGAGGACUACAGCAGGCUCCAGCACCCAGGAGGCCACUGUUUCUGCCUCUUCCUCCUCCUCACAGACCAGACCUGUGGCAUAUCUCCCGCUGUCUUAAUAUUUCCUUCUCAAGGUAGUUAACAGAUGCACCUGGCUCCAGGUCGGUUGGAAAGAACACAAAGAAAACGCCACCUUGAAAAAAAGUAUCUGACUUUUUUAAAUUAAAAAUUAUUAUUUAUUUAUUUA